AAACUACUCUUGCUAGUGACCCUGUAGAACAGAUCUGAAACGAGAACGUUCUAAACAAUUAAGAAACUUUCAAUCAACGGAUCUCUUGGCUUCCUCGGCCAUCGAUGAAGGAACGCAGACGAUAUAUGCGAGUAAAGCUACGUAGUGAAGUUGUCGAGCACAUUCAGUGAACUCAUCGAGACUCUUUGAACGCACAUUGCGCCCUUUGGUAUUCCUUAGGGCAUGCCUGUUCGAGCGUCAUUUAAACCUUCAAGCUCAGCUUGGUGUNGGGUGACUGUCCGCUUGCGGACUCGCCUCAAAAUGAUUGGCGGCCGGUACUUUUGGCUUCGAGCGCAGCAGAAACGCGAACUCGAGGCCUGUGUGCUGGCUCCCAGAAGCUAUCUUCACAAGUUUUCGACCUCGGAUCAGGUAAGGGAUACCCGCUGAACUUAAGCAUAUCAAUAAGCGGAGGAA
RNAcentral lists this ribosomal RNA (453 nucleotides) under Preussia sp. UFMGCB 4498. Its description in RNAcentral is "eukaryotic LSU rRNA". The stretch from base 65 to 240 matches the Rfam family "5.8S ribosomal RNA". The record is from RNAcentral. Lineage: Eukaryota; Fungi; Ascomycota; Dothideomycetes; Pleosporales; Sporormiaceae.